This is a long non-coding RNA of Passer domesticus (house sparrow), 474 nucleotides long. RefSeq lists it as uncharacterized. Lineage: Eukaryota; Metazoa; Chordata; Aves; Passeriformes; Passeridae. The transcript has 2 exons. The record is from RefSeq and is a predicted model, not a curated record.
UUAAGAAUUCAGUCCCAGCAGUUUUAGAACAAUUAUCUACAUCAUCACAACAUGGCUGUGAGGAAAAAAUGGGACUUAGGUGAGACCUAUCUACUCUCUCCAUCUUUCAGACCUCUCAGAUAGGACUACAGACACACUAUCCCAAAGAGUCCCUGAGAGCAGGUGAUCUGCUUCCCUACUCAUCACCUGGAAACAGAAACUGCAACAAGUGUAUUUCCCAAGGAGGACAGUAGGUGAAGAGGAAUAACCAGUCUCCACCACAGCAAGGGGAGGUAACCAGCAAAGAAGCACAGUGGCAAUGAGCUGGUAACGUGCUGACACCAAUGAAAGGAUCAACUUUGCUGAGGAGCCAGAAAUUAUUAAAUGCAGUUAGAAAACAACUGCUGAGAGCUGUGAAGAUUCCUUUGAUACCAACUGUCCAGGAAGCAAUGUUUAAAACCUCAAAAUUAGUAAAUGCAAAGUAAUUCAACAUUA